Molecule: non-coding RNA, 353 nt
Organism: Homo sapiens (human)
Lineage: Eukaryota; Metazoa; Chordata; Mammalia; Primates; Hominidae
Source: the annotation of a RefSeq genome assembly
AUGGACUGGACCUGGAGGAUCCUCUUUUUGGUGGCAGCAGCCACAGGUGCCCACUCCCAGGUCCAGCUUGUGCAGUCUGGGGCUGAGGUGAAGAAGCCUGGGGCCUCAGUGAAGGUUUCCUGCAAGGCUUCUGGAUACACCUUCACUAGCUAUGCUAUGCAUUGGGUGCGCCAGGCCCCCGGACAAAGGCUUGAGUGGAUGGGAUGGAUCAACGCUGGCAAUGGUAACACAAAAUAUUCACAGAAGUUCCAGGGCAGAGUCACCAUUACCAGGGACACAUCCGCGAGCACAGCCUACAUGGAGCUGAGCAGCCUGAGAUCUGAAGACACGGCUGUGUAUUACUGUGCGAGAGA